GCCGGGCGCGGUGGCUCAAACCUGUAAUCCCAGCACUUUGGGAGGCCGAGAUGGGCGGAUCACGAGGUCAGGAGAUCGAGACCAUCCUGGCUAACACGGUGAAACCCCGUCUCUAGUAGAGACGGGGUUUCACCGUGUUAGCCAGGAUGGUCUCGAUCUCCUGACCUCGUGAUCCGCCCAUCUCGG
Molecule: non-coding RNA, 186 nt
Filed under: Chlorocebus sabaeus (green monkey)
Lineage: Eukaryota; Metazoa; Chordata; Mammalia; Primates; Cercopithecidae
Source: Rfam by way of RNAcentral